UGCGACGUCACACUGCCGAGAAAAGCUUCUAGCCAGAGACGGUGCACCCGUACCGCAAACCGACACAGGUAGUCGAGGAGAGUAUCCUCAGGUGAGCGAGAGAACUCUCGUUAAGGAACUCGGCAAAAUGGCCCCGUAACUUCGGGAGAAGGGGCGCUGGUCGCAAGAUCAGCCGCAGUGAAAAGGCCCAAGCAACUGUUUAUCAAAAACACAGGCAUCUGCAAAAUCGUAAGAUGAAGUAUAGGUGCUGACACCUGCCCGGUGCUGGAAGGUUAAGAGGAGAGCUUAGCGCAAGCGAAGGUUUGAAUUGAAGCCCCAGUAAACGGCGGCCGUAACUAUAACGGUCCUAAGGUAGCGAAAUUCCUUGUCGGGUAAGUUCCGACCUGCACGAAAGGUGUAAUGAUUUGGGCACUGUCUCAACGAGAGACUCGGUGAAAUUAUAAUACCCGUGAAGAUGCGGGUUACCCGCGACAGGACGGAAAGACCCCAUGGAGCUUUACUGCAGUUUAAUAUUGGGUAUCUGUCAAGCAUGUACAGGAUAGGUAGGAGCCGGAGAAGAUAGGACGCCAGUCUUAUCAGAGGCGCUGUUGGGAUACUACCCUUGCUUGACGGAUGCUCUAACUCAGG
This 627-nucleotide ribosomal RNA is filed under the name Lactobacillus delbrueckii subsp. bulgaricus. Its description in RNAcentral is "partial 23S ribosomal RNA". It matches the Rfam family "Bacterial large subunit ribosomal RNA", at positions 1593 to 2231 of the family's 2925-position model. The record is from RNAcentral. Lineage: Bacteria; Bacillati; Bacillota; Bacilli; Lactobacillales; Lactobacillaceae.